GGGUUGUGAGGUUAAGCGACUAAGCGUACACGGUGGAUGCCCUGGCAGUCAGAGGCGAUGAAGGACGUGCUAAUCUGCGAUAAGCGUCGGUAAGGUGAUAUGAACCGUUAUAACCGGCGAUUUCCGAAUGGGGAAACCCAGUGUGAUUCGUCACACUAUCAUUAACUGAAUCCAUAGGUUAAUGAGGCGAACCGGGGGAACUGAAACAUCUAAGUACCCCGAGGAAAAGAAAUCAACCGAGAUUCCCCCAGUAGCGGCGAGCGAACGGGGAGCAGCCCAGAGCCUGAAUCAGUGUGUGUGUUAGUGGAAGCGUCUGGAAAGGCGUGCGAUACAGGGUGACAGCCCCGUACACAAAAAUGCACAUACUGUGAGCUCGAUGAGUAGGGCGGGACACGUGGUAUCCUGUCUGAAUAUGGGGGGACCAUCCUCCAAGGCUAAAUACUCCUGACUGACCGAUAGUGAACCAGUACCGUGAGGGAAAGGCGAAAAGAACCCCGGCGAGGGGAGUGAAAAAGAACCUGAAACCGUGUACGUACAAGCAGUGGGAGCACGCUUAGGCGUGUGACUGCGUACCUUUUGUAUAAUGGGUCAGCGACUUAUAUUCUGUAGCAAGGUUAACCGAAUAGGGGAGCCGAAGGGAAACCGAGUCUUAACUGGGCGUUAAGUUGCAGGGUAUAGACCCGAAACCCGGUGAUCUAGCCAUGGGCAGGUUGAAGGUUGGGUAACACUAACUGGAGGACCGAACCGACUAAUGUUGAAAAAUUAGCGGAUGACUUGUGGCUGGGGGUGAAAGGCCAAUCAAACCGGGAGAUAGCUGGUUCUCCCCGAAAGCUAUUUAGGUAGCGCCUCGUGAAUUCAUCUCCGGGGGUAGAGCACUGUUUCGGCAAGGGGGUCAUCCCGACUUACCAACCCGAUGCAAACUGCGAAUACCGGAGAAUGUUAUCACGGGAGACACACGGCGGGUGCUAACGUCCGUCGUGAAGAGGGAAACAACCCAGACCGCCAGCUAAGGUCCCAAAGUCAUGGUUAAGUGGGAAACGAUGUGGGAAGGCCCAGACAGCCAGGAUGUUGGCUUAGAAGCAGCCAUCAUUUAAAGAAAGCGUAAUAGCUCACUGGUCGAGUCGGCCUGCGCGGAAGAUGUAACGGGGCUAAACCAUGCACCGAAGCUGCGGCAGCGACGCUUAUGCGUUGUUGGGUAGGGGAGCGUUCUGUAAGCCUGCGAAGGUGUGCUGUGAGGCAUGCUGGAGGUAUCAGAAGUGCGAAUGCUGACAUAAGUAACGAUAAAGCGGGUGAAAAGCCCGCUCGCCGGAAGACCAAGGGUUCCUGUCCAACGUUAAUCGGGGCAGGGUGAGUCGACCCCUAAGGCGAGGCCGAAAGGCGUAGUCGAUGGGAAACAGGUUAAUAUUCCUGUACUUGGUGUUACUGCGAAGGGGGGACGGAGAAGGCUAUGUUGGCCGGGCGACGGUUGUCCCGGUUUAAGCGUGUAGGCUGGUUUUCCAGGCAAAUCCGGAAAAUCAAGGCUGAGGCGUGAUGACGAGGCACUACGGUGCUGAAGCAACAAAUGCCCUGCUUCCAGGAAAAGCCUCUAAGCAUCAGGUAACAUCAAAUCGUACCCCAAACCGACACAGGUGGUCAGGUAGAGAAUACCAAGGCGCUUGAGAGAACUCGGGUGAAGGAACUAGGCAAAAUGGUGCCGUAACUUCGGGAGAAGGCACGCUGAUAUGUAGGUGAAGUCCCUCGCGGAUGGAGCUGAAAUCAGUCGAAGAUACCAGCUGGCUGCAACUGUUUAUUAAAAACACAGCACUGUGCAAACACGAAAGUGGACGUAUACGGUGUGACGCCUGCCCGGUGCCGGAAGGUUAAUUGAUGGGGUCAGCGCAAGCGAAGCUCUUGAUCGAAGCCCCGGUAAACGGCGGCCGUAACUAUAACGGUCCUAAGGUAGCGAAAUUCCUUGUCGGGUAAGUUCCGACCUGCACGAAUGGCGUAAUGAUGGCCAGGCUGUCUCCACCCGAGACUCAGUGAAAUUGAACUCGCUGUGAAGAUGCAGUGUACCCGCGGCAAGACGGAAAGACCCCGUGAACCUUUACUAUAGCUUGACACUGAACAUUGAGCCUUGAUGUGUAGGAUAGGUGGGAGGCUUUGAAGUGUGGACGCCAGUCUGCAUGGAGCCGACCUUGAAAUACCACCCUUUAAUGUUUGAUGUUCUAACGUUGACCCGUAAUCCGGGUUGCGGACAGUGUCUGGUGGGUAGUUUGACUGGGGCGGUCUCCUCCUAAAGAGUAACGGAGGAGCACGAAGGUUGGCUAAUCCUGGUCGGACAUCAGGAGGUUAGUGCAAUGGCAUAAGCCAGCUUGACUGCGAGCGUGACGGCGCGAGCAGGUGCGAAAGCAGGUCAUAGUGAUCCGGUGGUUCUGAAUGGAAGGGCCAUCGCUCAACGGAUAAAAGGUACUCCGGGGAUAACAGGCUGAUACCGCCCAAGAGUUCAUAUCGACGGCGGUGUUUGGCACCUCGAUGUCGGCUCAUCACAUCCUGGGGCUGAAGUAGGUCCCAAGGGUAUGGCUGUUCGCCAUUUAAAGUGGUACGCGAGCUGGGUUUAGAACGUCGUGAGACAGUUCGGUCCCUAUCUGCCGUGGGCGCUGGAGAACUGAGGGGGGCUGCUCCUAGUACGAGAGGACCGGAGUGGACGCAUCACUGGUGUUCGGGUUGUCAUGCCAAUGGCACUGCCCGGUAGCUAAAUGCGGAAGAGAUAAGUGCUGAAAGCAUCUAAGCACGAAACUUGCCCCGAGAUGAGUUCUCCCUGACUCCUUGAGAGUCCUGAAGGAACGUUGAAGACGACGACGUUGAUAGGCCGGGUGUGUAAGCGCAGCGAUGCGUUGAGCUAACCGGUACUAAUGAACCGUGAGG
This 2904-nucleotide ribosomal RNA is filed under the name Escherichia coli. RNAcentral describes it as "partial 23S ribosomal RNA". It matches the Rfam family "Bacterial large subunit ribosomal RNA". Lineage: Bacteria; Pseudomonadati; Pseudomonadota; Gammaproteobacteria; Enterobacterales; Enterobacteriaceae. The record is from RNAcentral.